GGGGCUUUGGACAUGGGCGAAAGCCUGAUCCAGCCAUGCCGCGUGUGUGAAGAAGGUCUUCGGAUUGUAAAGCACUUUAAGUUGGGAGGAAGGGCAUUAACCUAAUACGUUAGUGUUUUGACGUUACCGACAGAAUAAGCACCGGCUAACUUCGUGCCAGCAGCCGCGGUAAUUACGAAGGGUGC
RNAcentral lists this ribosomal RNA (185 nucleotides) under Pseudomonas sp. Iw-7-2. Its description in RNAcentral is "partial 16S rRNA". It matches the Rfam family "Bacterial small subunit ribosomal RNA", at positions 358 to 535 of the family's 1533-position model. Lineage: Bacteria; Pseudomonadati; Pseudomonadota; Gammaproteobacteria; Pseudomonadales; Pseudomonadaceae. The record is from RNAcentral.